GUGAAACCAAAUGGAGCGUUAAAGACCGCCCAAUCCCCUCCGUCUCCAACUCUCCUUCAAGUUCUCUAAGGCACCGCGCGAGGGUUUCCUUUUCUCUUCCUUUUCUCCAAAACCCUAGCAGUCGGCGGUCGCUUCCUCUGGCCAUCCUAUGGACAAAUCGGAUAUGCCCUUGUAUGUGUUGAGCAAGUGCUGAAUGAGUGUCAGGAGAAUUUUGGUGAUUCGUGUAGGAUUGUUCAGACAUAUAUUACUCAACCAUGUUUGUGUCUCGCUAAUUUUUUUUCAACGUUUAGUUCAUAGAUGUAUUGUAAGAACAUAUUUACCCUUUGUUGUGUGAAAUCGUAUUACGGAUGUUUAGUUCUAUACAUGGAUUGAUGAGAUAUAUUAUUUUUAUUAUUAUGGAUUAAUCUAAAUCUAUGUCGAUAUUA
Molecule: non-coding RNA, 425 nt
Organism: Punica granatum (pomegranate)
Lineage: Eukaryota; Viridiplantae; Streptophyta; Magnoliopsida; Myrtales; Lythraceae
Source: RefSeq, a predicted model, not a curated record